This 492-nucleotide ribosomal RNA is filed under the name uncultured bacterium. RNAcentral describes it as "partial 16S ribosomal RNA". It matches the Rfam family "Bacterial small subunit ribosomal RNA", at positions 29 to 507 of the family's 1533-position model. The record is from RNAcentral.
AGUGAACGCUGGCGGUAGGCCUAACACAUGCAAGUCGAACGGCAGCACAGUAAGAGCUUGCUCUUACGGGUGGCGAGUGGCGGACGGGUGAGGAAUACAUCGGAAUCUACUUUUUCGUGGGGGAUAACGUAGGGAAACUUACGCUAAUACCGCAUACGACCUACGGGUGAAAGCAGGGGAUCUUCGGACCUUGCGCGAUUGAAUGAGCCGAUGUCGGAUUAGCUAGUUGGCGGGGUAAAGGCCCACCAAGGCGACGAUCCGUAGCUGGUCUGAGAGGAUGAUCAGCCACACUGGAACUUAGACACGGUCCAGACUCCUACGGGACGCAGCAGUGGGGAAUAUUGGACAAUGGGCGCAAGCCUGAUCCAGCCAUACCGCGUGGGUGAAGAAGGCCUUCGGGUUGUAAAGCCCUUUUGUUGGGAAAGAAAAGCAGCAGGUUAAUACCCCGCUGUUCUGACGGUACCCAAAGAAUAAGCACCGGCUAACUUCGUG